This 610-nucleotide ribosomal RNA is filed under the name Salmonella enterica subsp. enterica serovar Typhimurium. RNAcentral describes it as "partial 23S ribosomal RNA". It matches the Rfam family "Bacterial large subunit ribosomal RNA", at positions 1 to 651 of the family's 2925-position model. The record is from RNAcentral. Lineage: Bacteria; Pseudomonadati; Pseudomonadota; Gammaproteobacteria; Enterobacterales; Enterobacteriaceae.
GUUAAGCGACUAAGCGUACACGGUGGAUGCCCUGGCAGUCAGAGGCGAUGAAGGGCGUGCUAAUCUGCGAUAAGCGCCGGUAAGGUGAUAUGAACCGUUAUAACCGGCGAUACCCGAAUGGGGAAACCCAGUGUGACUCGUCACACUAUCAUUAACUGAAUCCAUAGGUUAAUGAGGCGAACCGGGGGAACUGAAACAUCUAAGUACCCCGAGGAAAAGAAAUCAACCGAGAUUCCCCCAGUAGCGGCGAGCGAACGGGGAGGAGCCCAGAGCCUGAAUCAGCAUGUGUGUUAGUGGAAGCGUCUGGAAAGGCGCGCGAUACAGGGUGACAGCCCCGUACACAAAAGCGCAUGUGCUGUGAGCUCGAUGAGUAGGGCGGGACACGUGGUAUCCUGUCUGAAUAUGGGGGGACCAUCCUCCAAGGCUAAAUACUCCUGACUGACCGAUAGUGAACCAGUACCGUGAGGGAAAGGCGAAAAGAACCCCGGCGAGGGGAGUGAAAAAGAACCUGAAACCGUGUACGUACAAGCAGUGGGAGCACCCUUCGGGGUGUGACUGCGUACCUUUUGUAUAAUGGGUCAGCGACUUAUAUUCUGUAGCAAGGUUAACC